AGAGAGAGACAUGCGCGCAUAUCAAUAAGCGGAGGAAAAGAAACUAACAAGGAUUCCCUUAGUAACGGCGAGUGAAGCGGGAAGAGCUCAAAUUUGAAAUCUUCAAGGUUCUACCUUGACGAAUUGUAGUUUAUAGAAGUGUUUUCUGUUAGUGGAGUGGCAAAAGUUCUUUGGAAUAGGACAUCAUAGAGGGUGAGAAUCCCGUAUUUGGUCAUUCCUCCUAGCGUUGUGAUACACUUUCAACGAGUCGGAUUGUUUGGGAAUGCAGUCCAAAAUGGGUGGUAAAUUUCAUCUAAAGCUAAAUAUUGGCGAGAGACCGAUAGCGAACAAGUACCGUGAGGGAAAGAUGAAAAGAACUUUGAAAAGAGAGUUAAACAGUACGUGAAAUUGUCAAAAGGGAAGCGUUUGACACCAGUGUUGUUUUCUCCGAAAAUCAAUUACGAAUGUUUUAUUUUUGAGGAGUUAUGACUUCAUCGGCUUGCUCCUUUCUUUACUGAAACUUUCUUAAUGCACUUUUCGGUUAACAAGUCAACAUCAAUUUCUUUUGUUGUAAAAGGGUAUGAGGAAGGUGGCUUUCUUUUCGGAGAAAGUGUUUAUAGCCUUGUGCCUCUGCAAUCGGAGAGAUUGAGGUCUGCAGCGUAGAUCCUUCGGGGUUAGAUACGUUUGUGCUAAGUUAUAGCUUUUCAUAGACAACUUGUUGACUAUGUUUAGUCUUGUAGCUUACUCGCUGAUGCUAUUUUACCUACGCUUAGGAUGUUGAUAGUCACAGCGUGUAC
Molecule: ribosomal RNA, 776 nt
Filed under: uncultured Neocallimastigales
Lineage: Eukaryota; Fungi; Neocallimastigomycota; Neocallimastigomycetes; Neocallimastigales
Description: partial large subunit ribosomal RNA
Rfam family: Eukaryotic large subunit ribosomal RNA
Source: RNAcentral